GACGAACGCUGGCGGCGUGCUUAACACAUGCAAGUCGAACGGAAAGGCCCUGCUUGCAGGGUACUCGAGUGGCGAACGGGUGAGUAACACGUGGGUGAUCUGCCCUGCACUUCGGGAUAAGCCUGGGAAACUGGGUCUAAUACCGGAUAGGAGCCAUUUUUAGUGUGAUGGUUGGAAAGUUUUUUCGGUGUAGGAUGAGCUCGCGGCCUAUCAGCUUGUUGGUGGGGUAAUGGCCUACCAAGGCGGCGACGGGUAGCCGGCCUGAGAGGGUGGACGGCCACAUUGGGACUGGGAUACGGCCCAGACUCCUACGGGAGGCAGCAGUGGGGAAUAUUGCACAAUGGGCGCAAGCCUGAUGCAGCGACGCCGCGUGGGGGAGGACGGCCUUCGGGUUGUAAACUCCUUUCGCUAGGGACGAAGCUUUUUGUGACGGUACCUAGAGAAGAAGCACCGGCUAACUACGUG
This 465-nucleotide ribosomal RNA is filed under the name uncultured bacterium. RNAcentral's name for it is "partial 16S ribosomal RNA". It matches the Rfam family "Bacterial small subunit ribosomal RNA", at positions 28 to 507 of the family's 1533-position model. The record is from RNAcentral.